CAUUCUGCAUUGCUUAAUAACU
RNAcentral lists this microRNA (22 nucleotides) under Strongyloides ratti. RNAcentral's name for it is "str-miR-8378-5p". The record is from miRBase by way of RNAcentral. Lineage: Eukaryota; Metazoa; Nematoda; Chromadorea; Rhabditida; Strongyloididae.